RNAcentral lists this ribosomal RNA (493 nucleotides) under uncultured bacterium. RNAcentral's name for it is "partial 16S ribosomal RNA". It matches the Rfam family "Bacterial small subunit ribosomal RNA", at positions 29 to 507 of the family's 1533-position model. The record is from RNAcentral.
ACGAACGCUGGCGGCGUGCUUAACACAUGCAAGUCGAACGGUGAAGCGCCUUCCUUUUUGGUGGGUGUGGAUGAGUGGCGAACGGGUGAGUAACACGUGAGUAACCUGCCCCCUUCUUCUGGAUAACCGCAUGAAAGUGUGGCUAAUACGGGAUAUUCUGGGUCUGUCGCAUGAUGGGUCUGGGAAAGAUAUUGUUUCGGUGGGGGAUGGGCUCGCGGCCUAUCAGCUUGUUGGGGGGGUGAUGGCCUACCAAGGCGGUGACGGGUAGCCGGCCUGAGAGGGUGGACGGUCACACUGGGACGGAGACACGGCCCAGACUCCUACGGGAGGCAGCAGUGGGGAAUAUUGCACAAUGGGCGCAAGCCUGAUGCAGCGACGCCGCGUGAGGGAUGGAGGCCUUCGGGUUGUGAACCUCUUUCGCCAGUGAAGCAGGCCUGCCUCGUUUGUGGGUGGGUUGACGGUAGCUGGAUAAGAAGCGCCGGCUAACUACGUG